AGAGUUUGAUCAUGGCUCAGAACGAACGCUGGCGGCGUGCCUAACACAUGCAAGUCGAACGCGAAAACCUUCGGGUGAGUAGAGUGGCGCACGGGUGAGUAACGCGUAGGUAAUCUACCCUUGAGUUUGGAACAACAUUCCGAAAGGAGUGCUAAUUCCGAAUAAGACUCUAAGUACUUCGGUACCAAUAGCCAAAGAGGACCUCUUCUUGAAAGUUCUCGCUUAAGGAUGAGCCUGCGUCUCAUUAGCUUGAUGGUGGGGUAAUGGCCUACCAUGGCGAAGAUGGGUAGCUGGUCUGAGAGGAUGAUCAGCCACACUGGAACUGAAACACGGUCCAGACUCCUACGGGAGGCAGCAGUGGGGAAUUUUGCGCAAUGGGGGAAACCCUGACGCAGCAACGCCGCGUGGAGGACGAAGGCCCUUGGGUCGUAAACUCCUGUCAGCAGAGAAGAAAGAUAUUAUGGUUAAUACCCAUAGUGUUUGACGGUACCUGCAGAGGAAGCACCGGCUAACUACGUGCCAGCAGCCGCGGUAAUACGUAGGGUGCAAGCGUUGUUCGGAAUCAUUGGGCGUAAAGCGUGCGUAGGCGGAUUGAUAAGUCAGGUGUGAAAGCCCACAGCUUAACUGUGGAACUGCGCUUGAAACUAUUAGUCUAGAGGAUGGUAGAGGCGGUGGAAUUCCAGGUGUAGAGGUGAAAUUCGUAGAUAUCUGGAGGAACACUCGUGGCGAAGGCGGCCUGCUGGGCCAUUCCUGACGCUGAGGCACGAAAGCGUGGGUAGCAAACAGGAUUAGAUACCCUAGUAGUCC
This 807-nucleotide ribosomal RNA is filed under the name uncultured bacterium. RNAcentral's name for it is "bacterial SSU rRNA". It matches the Rfam family "Bacterial small subunit ribosomal RNA", at positions 8 to 796 of the family's 1533-position model. The record is from RNAcentral.